RNAcentral lists this ribosomal RNA (309 nucleotides) under Triticum aestivum (bread wheat). RNAcentral's name for it is "partial small subunit ribosomal RNA". Lineage: Eukaryota; Viridiplantae; Streptophyta; Magnoliopsida; Poales; Poaceae. The record is from RNAcentral.
AUGUCUGUGUUUUCUCGAACAAUAAAACAAACUUCAGAAAAAAAACGACGAUAUUCUUUUUUUCUCCUUCAUACAUGGGCUGCACUUCACGUCGAUACAAUCUGCACUGCAAAACAAGAAAACAAGAACUUUUCUGAACUGCAUCCGUGCGAGGCCAUGGCGCACGCAAGCACUGAAACGUCCAUGAUACCAGACCGCGUGCGAGACCAUGGUGAACUGCAUCUGAAGGCAAAAAAAAAGAAGCAGCAAAACAUGCAAUUUUUCACCUCCAGCUCCGUGAUUGAACGAGGUUGGCCUCCUGCAAACUGA